GUUUCAGUAAGUGUUUUACGUGGUCUCAAAUCUCAAAUUAUUGACUACGAGAUUGACUACGAUGACUCUAAAGUCUCAGUUUGCCAACGAGCACAAGGUGACCCUGUGUCAUUCAACAAUCUACAGACCUGCCUCGUACCCAGGCUCUUUGGUUUGUGUCUCACGUCAAAUGGAUCUACACAAGUCAUAUCACAUAUGGCUGUAGAAUUUGACUUUCAAGUUUCAAUAGUUUUGAACUCACAUUCAAUAUAUAUAUUUCAAAAACUCAUUAAUAAUUCAGGAGGAAAACACAAAGAAAAAUCAUAUAAGCGUG
This is a non-coding RNA of Paramuricea clavata, 313 nucleotides long. NCBI's taxonomy places the organism in Eukaryota, Metazoa, Cnidaria, Anthozoa, Malacalcyonacea, Plexauridae. The record is from the annotation of a GenBank genome assembly.